RNAcentral lists this ribosomal RNA (435 nucleotides) under bacterium gwi86. RNAcentral describes it as "bacterial SSU rRNA". It matches the Rfam family "Bacterial small subunit ribosomal RNA", at positions 31 to 452 of the family's 1533-position model. The record is from RNAcentral.
GAACGCUGGCGGCGUGCCUAAUACAUGCAAGUCGAGCGGACUUGAUGGAGUGCUUGCACUCCUGAUGGUUAGCGGCGGACGGGUGAGUAACACGUAGGCAACCUGCCCUCAAGACUGGGAUAACUACCGGAAACGGUAGCUAAUACCGGAUAAUUUAUUUCACAGCAUUGUGGAAUAAUGAAAGACGGAGCAAUCUGUCACUUGGGGAUGGGCCUGCGGCGCAUUAGCUAGUUGGUGGGGUAAUGGCUCACCAAGGCGACGAUGCGUAGCCGACCUGAGAGGGUGAACGGCCACACUGGGACUGAGACACGGCCCAGACUCCUACGGGAGGCAGCAGUAGGGAAUCUUCCGCAAUGGGCGAAAGCCUGACGGAGCAACGCCGCGUGAGUGAUGAAGGUUUUCGGAUCGUAAAGCUCUGUUGCCAAGGAAGAACGU